This 494-nucleotide ribosomal RNA is filed under the name uncultured bacterium. RNAcentral's name for it is "partial 16S ribosomal RNA". It matches the Rfam family "Bacterial small subunit ribosomal RNA", at positions 28 to 507 of the family's 1533-position model. The record is from RNAcentral.
GACGAACGCUGGCGGCGUGCUUAACACAUGCAAGUCGAACGGAAAGGCCUGCUUUCCCUUGUGGAUUGCGGGUACUCGAGUGGCGAACGGGCGAGUAACACGUGAGUGAUCUGCCCCCAACUUGGGUAUAAGCCUGGGAAACAGGGUCUAAUUCUCGAUAGGACUGCAGGGUGGUGCCUGUGGUGGAAAACGAUUUUCUAGUGGUUGGGGAUGAGCUCGCGGCCUAUCAGCUUGGUGGGGGGGUAAUGGCCUACCAAGGCGGCGACGGGUAGCCGGCCUGGGAGGGUGGACGGCCGCAUUGGGACUGAGACACGGCGCAGACGCCAGGGGGAAGCAGCAGAGGGGAAUAAUGCGCAGUGAGCGGGAGGCUGAUGCAGCGAGGCCGCGUGGGAGAUGACGGGCUUCGGAUUGUAGACUCCUUGCGACCGCGAGGAGGCCACGUGGUUGGAAGGGUGGUGACGGUAGUGGUAGAAGAAGCACCGGCUAACUACGUG